UUGAUUCAUUUUCGAAACGCCCGCUAGGGGCGCCGAGAUGGUUCAGAAUUAUAAAAGUCCGCGAGGGACAUACAAAAGAGUUUUGGUUGGUCCUCCGGCGGGCGCCUUGGUCCGGGGCUGCGACGCGCCCGGGGCAUGAAUUUCCCGCCGAGGCAACAGUUUGGUAACGUUCACAUAGGGGUUUGGGAGUUGUAAACUCGGUAAUGAUCCCUCCGCUGGUUCACCAACGGAGA
RNAcentral lists this unclassified non-coding RNA (233 nucleotides) under uncultured fungus. RNAcentral's name for it is "sequence contains ITS1". The record is from RNAcentral. Lineage: Eukaryota; Fungi.